GGUAGGAUACUCAAGUGGCCAACGAGGGCAGACUGUAAAUCUGCUGGGCUUCGCCCUACGAAGGUUCGAAUCCUUCUCCUACCACCA
RNAcentral lists this transfer RNA (87 nucleotides) under Opitutaceae bacterium. Its description in RNAcentral is "tRNA-Tyr". It matches the Rfam family "tRNA". Rfam says of the family: Transfer RNA (tRNA) molecules are approximately 80 nucleotides in length. Their secondary structure includes four short double-helical elements and three loops (D, anti-codon, and T loops). Lineage: Bacteria; Pseudomonadati; Verrucomicrobiota; Opitutia; Opitutales; Opitutaceae. The record is from RNAcentral.